GUUCCAUUAACCAUGUCUAGAUCUAGAUUCUCAAGGCGGCAUGUGAUCAAAACAAUUUCAUCUCCCUCCUCCCAUGCAUUGGCUAACAAGGAGUCAGAAAAGAAAGGAAGCUAGAUACCAAAAUGGAGAUUCUGAUUGUAGAUUUCUAUUUCUAUGCAAUUGAGAAUUAGGUGGGAAUGUUUACUGAGCCCGCAAGCUCCUACAGACAUUUCUGAAAUCAUCUUCUCAAGAUAUGUGAGAAACAAAACCACAUUUCUGAAAUCAUCUUCUCAAGAUAUGUGAGAAACAAAACCAGAUAUCUUAUUCACCGCAGCAGAGGUGUAAUACACACAGGAGGAAAAGGGGAAAACAGAGAUUUGGGAGUAACUCUUUUCUGUUUCAGUGCUUGAAAAUAAUUCCCACUGCUUGAACAGCAUCAAUCCACUGGAUAGAUGAUUUCUUUUAUUCAUUUUGUUGCUUGUUUUUUAGAGAAGAUACCAAAUGGUUGUGCUGAACUUGAAGGAAAGCACUUCUCAAUGCUCUAUUGAAUAAGUGCAACUCAUGAGUUAGAAAUAUUUUUUUGUAAUCUUUUAUCUAUUGUGAAAAGCAUAAACAAGUCCUC
Molecule: long non-coding RNA, 601 nt
Organism: Ipomoea nil (Japanese morning glory)
Lineage: Eukaryota; Viridiplantae; Streptophyta; Magnoliopsida; Solanales; Convolvulaceae
Exons: 2
Source: RefSeq, a predicted model, not a curated record